RNAcentral lists this ribosomal RNA (492 nucleotides) under uncultured bacterium. Its description in RNAcentral is "partial 16S ribosomal RNA". It matches the Rfam family "Bacterial small subunit ribosomal RNA", at positions 29 to 507 of the family's 1533-position model. The record is from RNAcentral.
AGUGGACGCUGGCGGUAGGCCUAACACAUGCAAGUCGAACGGCAGCACAGUAAGAGCUUGCUCUUACGGGUGGCGAGUGGCGGACGGGUGAGGAAUACAUCGGAAUCUACUUUUUCGUAGGGGAUAACGUAGGGAAACUUACGCUAAUACCGCAUACGACCUACGGGUGAAAGCAGGGGAUCUUCGGACCUUGCGCGAUUGAAUGAGCCGAUGUCGGAUUAGCUAGUUGGCGGGGUAAAGGCCCACCAAGGCGACGAUCCGUAGCUGGUCUGAGAGGAUGAUCAGCCACACUGGAACUGAGACACGGUCCAGACUCCUACGGGAGGCAGCAGUGGGGAAUAUUGGACAAUGGGCGCAAGCCUGAUCCAGCCAUACCGCGUGGGUGAAGAAGGCCUUCGGGUUGUAAAGCCCUUUUGUUGGGAAAGAAAAGCAGCAGGUUAAUACCCCGCUGUUCUGACGGUACCCAAAGAAUAAGCACCGGCUAACUUCGUG